GGGGGUCGGGGGAGGUGGGGGGAACUAUCUUCACUCCUUAAGUGUCUGUAGCCAGGGAGAAUUUUCUCAACUGGCCCAGCACAAGCCUCAGGCCCCAGGCCCUAGCUGUAUUAGUUCAGACCGGGAAGGCUCUCCCCUCUCCAGAUUUGAUGGUAGGAUGCAAGCACCUAAGUUUGCCUGCUCACUAAAACUGCACUCAGUGGAGGAGAUGUAAUUCCUGAAAGGUAAUCCAAGACCAGUUAGAAGAGGGACCUGGAUUCAGGACAGCCUGCGGUGACAGAUGUCUGCUCUUAGGCUGUUUGACAUCUACAUCCACUCUGGCAUGACUGGGAUACAAGGUUGUGAAAGAAGAUUUCUAGAUUGGAGCCUGUGCACAAAAGGUCACAAAUCUGAAACGUUUUCUUUCUUUUUUUUGUUUUUUGGAAUUUUAGGGCCGAGCCUGCGGCACAUGGGAGUAGCCAAAAAAGAAAAAGAAAAAAAACCUUUUUUUAAAUCUCUGGACUUUUUUUCAUUGUAAGAAGACCCACUUGGCUUCUGUUUCCUUUCUUCUCCCUUCCUUGUUUUCUUGGCAUGGCUUCCCAAUGAGAUUAAUCAGAAAGAUUCUCAAGCAUCGAGCAAUAUGCUAAAUCAGAGCCUUUUUAAAAUUGAAGAAUAAUUGACUUAUAAUGUUGUGUUAGUUUCUUGUCAACAGAAAAGUGAUUCAUUAUGUGUAUGUGUGUGUGUGUAUUCUUUUUCAGAUUCUUUUCCAUUAUAGUUUAUUACAAGGUAUUGAAUAUACAGUUGGGCCUUAUUGUUUAUUUACUUUAUAUACAGUAGUUUGUAUCUACUCAGAGGCUUUCGGUGUGUGGAACCCAGGAAAUGAGAAGGUAAAAGGAUGAGGCAAAUGCUGCGCUCAAUGUGAAGUCUCAGGGUCCAAAAACUAAGGGGGCUGCUCCCAGUUCCAGGCCAGCAACAUAAAGAAACAAUACAGAGUGAGUCUGAGACAUUCUACUGAGCAGGAUUUGCUUACAGCUUAUAAAAAUUAUUACUUACUAUUUGCUACCUGCAAAAGAGCAC
RNAcentral lists this long non-coding RNA (1056 nucleotides) under Sus scrofa (pig). RNAcentral's name for it is "lncRNA (ENSSSCG00070019753.1)". Lineage: Eukaryota; Metazoa; Chordata; Mammalia; Artiodactyla; Suidae. The record is from RNAcentral.